UACGUAGGUGGCGAGCGUUAUCCGGAUUUACUGGGUGUAAAGGGCGUGUAGGCGGGUGUUCAAGUCGGAUGUGAAAAGGCAAGGCUCAACUUUGCUGUGUCAUCCGAAACUGGAUAUCUUGAGUGUCUGAGGGGAAAGCGGAAUUCCUGGUGGAGCGGUAAAAUGCGUAGAGAUCAGGAGGAACACCGGCGGCGAAGGCGGCUUUCUGGCAGACAACUGACGCUGAGGCGCGAAAGCGUGGGGAGCAAACAGGAUUAGAUACCCCGGUAGU
RNAcentral lists this ribosomal RNA (271 nucleotides) under uncultured prokaryote. RNAcentral describes it as "partial 16S ribosomal RNA". It matches the Rfam family "Bacterial small subunit ribosomal RNA", at positions 524 to 794 of the family's 1533-position model. The record is from RNAcentral.